GUGACCUACGGGGGGCAGCAGUGAGGAAUAUUGGUCAAUGGUCGGGGGACUGAACCAGCCAAGUCGCGUGAGGGAAGACGGCCCUACGGGUUGUAAACCUCUUUUGCCGGGGAGCAAGCCUGAGCACGUGUGCCCAGGCGGAGAGUACCCGGAGAAAAAGCAUCGGCUAACUCCGUGCCAGCAGCCGCGGUAAUACGGAGGAUGCGAGCGUUAUCCGGAUUUAUUGGGUUUAAAGGGCGCGCAGGCGGGCUGUUAAGCCGGCGGUAAAAAUUCAGGGCUCAACCCUGU
RNAcentral lists this ribosomal RNA (288 nucleotides) under uncultured bacterium. RNAcentral's name for it is "partial 16S ribosomal RNA". It matches the Rfam family "Bacterial small subunit ribosomal RNA", at positions 334 to 618 of the family's 1533-position model. The record is from RNAcentral.